UACGGAGGGAUCCAAGCGUUAUCCGGAAUCAUUGGGUUUAAAGGGUCCGUAGGCGGUUUGGUAAGUCAGUGGUGAAAGCCCAUCGCUCAACGGUGGAACGGCCAUUGAUACUGCCAGACUUGAAUUAUUUAGGGAAGUAACUAGAAUAUGUAGUGUAGCGGUGAAAUGCUUUAGAGAUUUACAUGGAAUACCAAUUGCGAAGGCAGGUUUACUACUAAUGGAUUUGACGCUGGAUGGACGAAAGCGUGGGUAGCGAACAGG
This 261-nucleotide ribosomal RNA is filed under the name uncultured bacterium. RNAcentral describes it as "partial 16S ribosomal RNA". It matches the Rfam family "Bacterial small subunit ribosomal RNA", at positions 524 to 776 of the family's 1533-position model. The record is from RNAcentral.